Molecule: ribosomal RNA, 253 nt
Filed under: uncultured bacterium
Lineage: Bacteria
Description: partial 16S ribosomal RNA
Rfam family: Bacterial small subunit ribosomal RNA
Source: RNAcentral
UACGUAGGGUCCGAGCGUUGUCCGGAAUUAUUGGGCGUAAAGGGCUCGUAGGCGGUUGGUCACGUCGGGAGUGAAAACUCAGGGCUCAACCCUGAGCGUGCUUCCGAUACGGGCCGACUAGAGGUAUGCAGGGGAGAACGGAAUUCCUGGUGUAGCGGUGGAAUGCGCAGAUAUCGGGAGGAACACCUAUGGCGAAGGCAGCUCGCUGGGACGUUACUGACGCUGAGACGCGAAAGCGUGGGGAGCAAACAGG